Molecule: non-coding RNA, 297 nt
Organism: Otolemur garnettii (small-eared galago)
Lineage: Eukaryota; Metazoa; Chordata; Mammalia; Primates; Galagidae
Source: Rfam
GCUGAUGCGGUGGUGCGCACCUGUAGUCCCAGCUACUCAGGAGGCUGAGACAGGAGGAUCGCUUGAGUCCAGGAGUUCUGGCUAUAGUGUGCUUUGCCGAUCUGGUUUCUGCACUAAGUUCGCAUCAAUAUGGUGACCUCCCGGGAGCAGGGGACCACCAGGUUGACUAAGGAGGGGUGAACUGGCCCCGGUCAGAAACAGAGUAGGUCAAAACUCCCAUGUUGAUCAGUAAGGGGUUCGUGCCUGUGAAUAGGCACUGCACUCCAGCCUGGGCAACAUAGCAAGACCCUAUCUAUA